Molecule: long non-coding RNA, 199 nt
Filed under: Glycine max (soybean)
Lineage: Eukaryota; Viridiplantae; Streptophyta; Magnoliopsida; Fabales; Fabaceae
Description: long non-coding RNA (GMAX_LNC003180)
Source: RNAcentral
GUAAAGUUCCGUGACACACCGGAAAUCAAAUGGAGGCAUCGUUGCACAAUUAGUGAGGUUCCGUAACAUUCCGUAAGUCAAAAAGGGGAUGAUUAUGUAAUCCACAAGGUUCCGUAACAUUACAGAAAGGAAACAAGUAUCGAUACGAAAUUCGUAAGUUUCCGUAACUUUACGAAAAAAGAAUCUCCAAAAAAGGCAG